Molecule: non-coding RNA, 623 nt
Organism: Erythranthe guttata (spotted monkey flower)
Lineage: Eukaryota; Viridiplantae; Streptophyta; Magnoliopsida; Lamiales; Phrymaceae
Source: RefSeq, a predicted model, not a curated record
AUUCAAAAUAUAGUAUUAGUAUUCUUAUCUGUUUGCUGCCUUUUUUUUCUUUCCUUUCUUUCUUAGUUGUUGAGCACUAACCACAACACAUUGCAGCUUCAAAUCUUUAGAAGAAUGUCGGCGCCGACCACCACAAUCCAGGCUGCACACGCCGCAUCGCUCGUCACGGAGGACCUCUACAAAGUGCCCACUGUAACUCAUUCAACUCUUUUGCUCGUUAAUAAGUCGACAACAUUAGGAAAGGGUACAACCUGGAGUAAGAGACGAGUCUUCAGAACUUGAGAGAUGGAAAGAAAGGCAAUCUUAAAGUUUCCACUGAGAUCUGUUAUUGUGGAAGACAUCAUUCUUGUUCCCGCCACCUUUGCUGACGUCGUGCUUGCCUAUGCUACCAUGCAAUUGUCAGAUUAUUUUCUUUCUUCUUCCAAGUUACGAGGUUUUGCCGCGUGUUGAAAUUUUCCCUCUGUUGUUCUGUUUUGUUGGUGUUUCAUUUAGUUGUGCGAUUUUCUGGCCCUGAUCCAUCAAAGAUGAGAGGGUCAAAAAGAGGGAAAUCAAAUACUUCAUUAACACGAUGAGUAAGAUCUCUGCAAACGAACUAGGUAAAACUUGAAUGCCAUCGUUUUUUU